GAGUUUUUGAGGACUUACCUGAAUCUUCCAUCAGAAAUUGUUCCUGCUACCUUGAAGAAACAGGCAAAGCCUGCUGGUGGUCGCCCGUUUGGUGGUCCACCUGGUGACCGGCCCCGGUAAUUUUAAUUUAUGUUGACAAUUUCGUGAUUUGAGUGUUCUCAUCAUCCUUGAUUUUUUAGAAUAAACUAAUUUGCAUGAGCUGUUUGUUUGGAUUUCUAGAGGUCCACCUCGCUUUGAGGGAGACCGUCCAAGAUUUGGUGACCGCGAUGGUUAUCGUGGGGGCCCACGAGGGGGUGAAGGUGGUGAGAAGGGAGGAGCACCGGCAGAUUACCAGCCUGCAUUUAGGGUAAUUUCACUUUAAUACAAUUACCCUAAAUGUUAAUACCCAUUAGGGACAACUGCCACAAUGUGUUCUUGUAUAUUUACUUCUAAUUCCAUUCCAUGUUUGGAUCUUCCAGGG
Molecule: long non-coding RNA, 460 nt
Filed under: Populus tremula
Lineage: Eukaryota; Viridiplantae; Streptophyta; Magnoliopsida; Malpighiales; Salicaceae
Description: long non-coding RNA (PTRE_LNC001292)
Source: RNAcentral